Molecule: ribosomal RNA, 506 nt
Filed under: uncultured bacterium
Lineage: Bacteria
Description: partial 16S ribosomal RNA
Rfam family: Bacterial small subunit ribosomal RNA
Source: RNAcentral
AUUGAACGCUGGCGGUAUGCUUAACACAUGCAAGUCGAACGGCAGCAUGGUCUAGCUUGCUAGACUGAUGGCGAGUGGCGGACGGGUGAGUAACGCGUAGGAAUAUGCCUUGAAGAGUGGGACAACUUGGGGAAACUCAAGCUAAUACCGCAUGUACUCGAGAGAGUAAAGCUGGGGACCUUUAGGCCUGGCGCUUUAAGAUUAGCCUGCGUCCGAUUAGCUAGUUGGUAGGGUAAAGGCCUACCAAGGCGACGAUCGGUAGCUGGUCUGAGAGGAUGAUCAGCCACACCGGAACUGAGAGACUGUCCAGACUCCUACGGGAGGCAGCAGUGGGGAAUAUUGGACAAUGGGGGGAACCCUGAUCCAGCAAUGCCGCGUGUGUGAAGAAGGCCUGAGGGUUGUAAAGCACUUUCAGUGGGGAGGAGGUUUGGAAGGUUAAGAGCUAUUCAAAUGGACGUUACCCACAGAAGAAGCACCGGCUAACUCCGUGCCAGCCGCCGCGGUAA